CGUGGGUGACCUACCUUUCAGUGAGGGAUACCGGCGAGAAAUUGCCGACAAUACCGCAUGAGCUUCCCUUUGUAGAGAGGGGAAGGAAAGCUUUUUCUUGCGAAAGAGAAGGCGCUGAGAGAUGGGCCCGCGGCCGAUUAGCUAGUUGGUGGGGUAAGAGCCUACCAAGGCGUCGAUCGGUAGCUGGUCUGAGAGGACGAUCAGCCACACUGGGAUUGAGAACGGCCCAG
This 230-nucleotide ribosomal RNA is filed under the name uncultured bacterium. RNAcentral describes it as "partial 16S ribosomal RNA". It matches the Rfam family "Bacterial small subunit ribosomal RNA", at positions 116 to 334 of the family's 1533-position model. The record is from RNAcentral.